CCCUUAGAUGUUCUGGGCCGCACGCGCGCUACACUGAUGCAUUCAACGAGUCUAAAGCCUGCUCUGAUAGGGGUGGGUAAUCUUUUGAAUGUGCAUCGUGAUUGGGAUAGAUGAUUGCAAUUUUUCAUCUUCAACGAGGAAUGCCUAGUAAACGCAAGUCAUCAGCUUGCAUUGAUUACGUCCCUGCCCUUUGUACACACCGCCCGUCGCUCCUACCGAUUGAAUGAUCCGAUGAAUAUCAUGGAUUGAGGAUGCAAGUAGGUUAGCCUAUCUUCAUCUUCGAGAAGUGAAGUAAAUCUUAUCAUUUAGAGGAAGGAGAAGUCGUAACA
RNAcentral lists this ribosomal RNA (329 nucleotides) under uncultured eukaryote. RNAcentral describes it as "partial 18S ribosomal RNA". It matches the Rfam family "Eukaryotic small subunit ribosomal RNA", at positions 1470 to 1796 of the family's 1831-position model. The record is from RNAcentral.